Molecule: unclassified non-coding RNA, 331 nt
Filed under: soil metagenome
Description: partial contains 5.8S ribosomal RNA, internal transcribed spacer 2, and large subunit ribosomal RNA
Rfam family: 5.8S ribosomal RNA (bases 2-119)
Source: RNAcentral
GUGAAGAACGCAGCGAAAUGCGAUACGUAAUGUGAAUUGCAGAUUUCAGUGAAUCAUCGAAUCUUUGAACGCACAUUGCGCCCGCUAGUAUUCUGGCGGGCAUGCCUGUUCGAGCGUCAUUUCAACCAUCAAGCCCUAGGCUUGCGUUGGAGCCCUGCGGCUGCCGCAGGCUCCCAAAUCCAGUGGCGGGCUCGUCGUCGUACCGAGUGCAGUAAACAUCCUCGCUCAGGGAACGUGACGGGUUCUUGCCGUGAAACCCCCCACAUAUCAAGGUUGACCUCGGAUCAGGUAGGAAUACCCGCUGAACUUAAGCAUAUCAAUAAGCGGAGGA